AUUGAACGCUGGCGGCAUGCUUUACACAUGCAAGUCGAACGGUAACAAGUCUUCUGAUGCUGACGAGUGGCGAACGGGUGAGUAAUACAUCGGAACGUGCCUAGUAGUGGGGGAUAACUACUCGAAAGAGUAGCUAAUACCGCAUGAGAUCUACGGAUGAAAGCAGGGGACCUUCGGGCCUUGUGCUACUAGAGCGGCUGAUGGCAGAUUAUGUAGUUGGUGGGGUAAAGGCUUACCAAGCCUGCGAUCUGUAGCUGGACUGAGAGGACAACCAGCCACACUGGGACUGAGACACGGCCCAAACUCCUACCGGAGGCAGCACUGGGGAAUUUUGGACAAUGGGCGAAAGCCUGAUCCAGCAAUGCCGCGUGCAGGAUGAAGGCCCUCGGGUUGUAAACUGCUUUUGUACGGAACGAAAAGCCUGGGGCUAAUAUCCCCGGGUCAUGACGGUACCGUAAGAAUAAGCACCGGCUAACUACGUGCCAGCAGCCGCGGUAAUACGUAGGGUGCAAGCGUUAAUCGGAAUUACUGGGCGUAAAGCGUGCGCAGGCGGUUUUGUAAGACAGUGGUGAAAUCCCCGGGCUCAACCUGGGAACUGCCAUUGUGACUGCAAGGCUAGAGUGCGGCAGAGGGAGAUGGAAUUCCGCGUGUAGCAGUGAAAUGCGUAGAUAUGCGGAGGAACACCGAUGGCGAAGGCAAUCCCCUGGGCCUGCACUGACGCUCAUGCACGAAAGCGUGGGGAGCAACCAGGAUUAGAUACCCUGGUAGUCCACGCCCUAAACGAUGUCAACUGGUUGUUGGGUCUUAACUGACUCAGUAACGAAGCUAACGCGUGAAGUUGACCGCCUGGGGAGUACGGCCGCAAGGUUGAAACUCAAAGGAAUUGACGGGGACCCGCACAAGCGGUGGAUGAUGUGGUUUAAUUCGAUGCAACGCGAAAAACCUUACCCACCUUUGACAUGGCAGGAACUUACCAGAGAUGGUUUGGUGCUCGAAAGAGAACCUGCACACAGGUGCUGCAUGGCUGUCGUCAGCUCGUGUCGUGAGAUGUUGGGUUAAGUCCCGCAACGAGCGCAACCCUUGCCAUUAGUUGCUACAUUCAGUUGAGCACUCUAAUGGGACUGCCGGUGACAAACCGGAGGAAGGUGGGGAUGACGUCAAGUCCUCAUGGCCCUUAUAGGUGGGGCUACACACGUCAUACAAUGGCUGGUACAAAGGGUUGCCAACCCGCGAGGGGGAGCUAAUCCCAUAAAGCCAGUCGUAGUCCGGAUCGCAGUCUGCAACUCGACUGCGUGAAGUCGGAAUCGCUAGUAAUCGUGGAUCAGAAUGUCACGGUGAAUACGUUCCCGGGUCU
This 1354-nucleotide ribosomal RNA is filed under the name uncultured bacterium. RNAcentral describes it as "bacterial SSU rRNA". It matches the Rfam family "Bacterial small subunit ribosomal RNA", at positions 28 to 1381 of the family's 1533-position model. The record is from RNAcentral.